Tachysurus fulvidraco (yellow catfish) is the source of this 387-nucleotide long non-coding RNA. RefSeq lists it as uncharacterized. The transcript is spliced from 3 exons. NCBI's taxonomy places the organism in Eukaryota, Metazoa, Chordata, Actinopteri, Siluriformes, Bagridae. The record is from RefSeq and is a predicted model, not a curated record.
UUACUAACAAGGAAGUUAGUGCCUUUUAUGCUUGCUGUUCUUGCUAUUCAGAAAAAAAGUGAAACUAGAAUCUAUAUCAAUCUGCAUUCAUCCUUGGUAGCUUUCUUCGAAUAGAUCACUGCCUCUGGAUGUGAAUGAGUGUGAGACCCUGCAAUGGACUGGCAUCCCAUCCGGAUUGAAUUUUCCUGCCUUGUGUCCAACUAUGCUGGCCUGGAGAGUCGUUGCUCCCAGCAUCAAAUCUCGGUGCCUCAGUCCGCAAGAUUGUCAUAGCGAUACACAGCGCCAUGGAGACAGCCUUGAUCAGGUCCCAGACAGAGUCAACAAUUCGCAGGUGUCUAUGGAAAUGGGGGAAGGAACGCAUGAGCGUCUCGCCGCAGUGCUCUUCCA